GAUCAAGUGUAGUAUCUGUUCUUAUCAGUUUAAUAUCUGAUACGUCCUCUAUCCGAGGACAAUAUAUUAAAUGGAUUUUUGGAGCAGGGAGUUGGAAUAGGAGCUUGCUCCGUCCACUCCACGCAUCGACCUGGUAUUGCAGUACUUCCAGGAACGGUGCACCCCUUCGGGGGACUACAACAAUACACAACGAGAGAACAAACGGGGAUUUUCGGGAUCGAGUGCGCUGUGCGUGUUGCAAGAUACAGCUGUUCUACACCAUUACAAACUUACUUCCACAUCCGCUACGGCGUAAAUGGGGCGGUAGCGAUUAGCCGGUAGGCCCGCCCCCAUGCGCGCUACGCGUUCGAGGUUACAGGCGCUCCCACCCUUGAAGUGUGCCCACCUUCCUCGAAGCAGCGGUUGAGCCUGCAGCUUCGUCCGUAACCGCUCCAGGCUACUGCACGCACGCGCGCUGCCGACACAAGCCCGUGUGGCGGUGGCGGCGCAGCGCAGAGAUGGACCCCAGCGGCGGACAGGACCGAGGUCGCAGUGCCAGGGACGCGCGGGGGCAGUGGGCGUGAGAGACGACGUGGCACAGGUACGCAGGGCAGCCCUUGGACGCCGCCUGAGGUAGGACAGGGGCCAGUAAGUUACCUUGCGGACGGCAGAGCGGAGGCACUCUGAUGAGAAGGUACCUCUUCCCCCUCAGAGGAGGUGGACGGAGGUCCCUGCGGAGGAGCUGAGCCUUCUCCACAACGAACGUUUAAAAGAAAACAGUACUGACCACACUGCCUGCGUCGAGGAAGAAAAUAGACUGCUGCCAGGAAAAAGGAACGCGUCUGUCGGUCUACGUCGGCCAUAGGUCGACAGAGCCUACCGCACGUUGGCAACGGCAAAAGGGAAAGGUGCUCCUACAGCUUCCUUUUGCCUCUUCCCCGCGCCGCUGCCUCGGCAACUGUAGGGGUUCUUGGGAAAAAACCAGGAUGCAGUGCCUGGAGUGCCACGUGUUGGCCGAGAACGCAGGCUCCAGAAGCCAACCCGCUCUUUCUUUUUCCUUUCUGAAACAGUGCACAAAAACAUUGAUCAGCGGACUUACCCGCAUCCCAAACUCCCCGAAGUGACACAAAAAGUAAGAAAAACAGUUUCUGCACCCAUGUGCUAAAACUGAGAAAUUACAACGUGGAAGCCAGUAUCUGCUUUUCACACAGUGGUUUUAAUCCCCUGAAGGGGAAGU
Molecule: long non-coding RNA, 1216 nt
Organism: Eubalaena glacialis (North Atlantic right whale)
Lineage: Eukaryota; Metazoa; Chordata; Mammalia; Artiodactyla; Balaenidae
Exons: 4
Source: RefSeq, a predicted model, not a curated record